RNAcentral lists this ribosomal RNA (440 nucleotides) under uncultured bacterium. RNAcentral's name for it is "partial 16S ribosomal RNA". It matches the Rfam family "Bacterial small subunit ribosomal RNA", at positions 338 to 795 of the family's 1533-position model. The record is from RNAcentral.
CCUACGGGUGGCAGCAGUGGGGAAUAUUGCACAAUGGGGGAAACCCUGAUGCAGCGACGCCGCGUGAGUGAAGAAGUAUUUCGGUAUGUAAAGCUCUAUUAGCAGGGAAGAAAAUGACGGUACCUGAUUAAGAAGCCACGGCGAACUAGGUGCCAGCAGCCGCGGUAAUACGGAGGGGGCAAGCGUUAACCGGAUUGACUGGGUGUAAAGGGAGCGUAGACGGCAGCGCAGGUCUGAAGUGAAAUGCCGGGGCUGAACCCCGGAACUGCUUUGGAAACUGUGCAGCUAGAGUGCAGGAGAGGUAAGUGGAAUUCCUGGUGUGGCGGUGAAAUGCGUAGAUAUUAGGAGGAACACCGGUGGCGAAGGCGGCUUACGGGACUGUAACUGACGUUGAGGCUCGAAAGCGUGGGGAGCAAACAGGAUUAGAUACCCUUGUAGUC